UAAACAUGAAUCUUUAACUUAGAUGAAGGAGAAUCAAAGAAUGUUGUAUCAUUUAUUGAAUAGGUCAUUCAUAGGCUUUAAAACCGUGCAUGAACAGAGUAUUCAAUAAAAGCAACUCAUAACAUGAAGCUUCACUAAGAAAAAUGAACCAAUACGUACAUUAAUACCAUAUGCGAACACAAAGAUUAAACAGAUAAAAGAGAGGAGUUUAGAUGAACCAACAAUAUUUGCUCUGGCAAUUCCAGUAAAAUUUAAACCAAGACAUGCUAGAAACAGUAAGCUAAUAUCUCAAUAUUCAUCAAACACAUAACACAAAAUCACAAGACAUCGAGAAAUUGAGAAGAAAUGAACCUGAAAUUAGAAAAUGGGUCGACUGAUUCAGAUAUUAACUUCCAAAUUUGAGAGAAAGAACAUCAGCAAAGUCGAGCAAGAAUCGCAGGCAAAAUCGAAACCUCGAACCGGAAACCUCGUCAAAUUCGAAACAAACUACCUUCAACCGAGCUUAAUAUUGAAUUUGAAACUCGUACGCUUGGACUGUUUUGAAACUCCUAAGCAACAAGAUCAAACAAAACCUCUAAUCGACAACACUGGUAGCCCAAAAUAUUCAAUAAUGAAGAAACAAUUAAAAGGUACAGCAGUUCCGAUUCCAAAAUUCGACUGAAAUAGUCUUUCAACUGAUGAGUACUCCCAACUAUUACAAGGAUUUCAGCUCUGAAAUACAAUUGAAUGAACAACAGGAACUUGUUCCACAAAAACAAAAUGUCAAACAACAACAACACUCGAACAACGCCGGAAACAUCAAACUCAACUAGACAUAACCGUACUCCAUAUUUGAGACCGAAGAUCGGAAUCUAAGAAAAAGGCAGAUGUGUAUUUCGGGGGUUGGGUUGUUGUUAAUGGGAAGAAGCAGAAGCAGCGAUGGCUAUGGUGUUCGCAGGUUCUCUGUCCAGCGGCGACUGUGUGUAUGUUUAUCAACGAGCUCGUCGCUGGCUUCUGGGUGUUCUGUGUGUUGUAUUGAUUUUAGGGGUGUGGUGAAGAAGAUCCGUUCAGAAGGGGGGUCGUCCUUGGUGUUAUCGGCGCUUAGCUUUUUCAGAUGCCUCUUUCUUUUUAUUUUUUUCAGGCGUCUUUAUUUUUAUUUGUGUAUUUUCAGCUUAUUGCUCUUAGGUCCUUAGGGUAUUUUUAUUUAUUUUUUGUUCCAAAGAAGAGUCUAGAAGGGUCUCUAAGAUUAGCUUAAUGGGUAUUAGAUAUUGAACUUAAGGAAUUGGCUAGAAACUUGGUCCUUUAUGACUAGCUAUGUUCAAAAUUAGCUUAAUUAACUAAAAGUAUUAUCGAAAAUAUUAAUUAGCUCUACUUAAGUAAAAAUAAUUAUCAAAAUAAGACUGACCAUUAAAACAAAACUAUUUUUUGGUAUUUUUUCAAGAUUAAAAAUGACUACAAAACAUUAAUGAACCUAUUUUUUGUAAUUUUCGUUUUCUUGUAAUAACAUAAAAGUAAAAGAGUAAAAAUGAGUUGAAAUAGCUAUAUUAGGCCUAAAUUAAAUAUUUACGUGCUAAAAUAUGAAAAAUCUUGGGAGGGUCAAAAAUCACAUGUCUACAACUACCCCUUUUUUACUGGAAAGACGAAGUAUUUUUCAGACAAAGAACGACUAGACAUGUUUUUUGACCCGACCCUUAUUUGGAGAGACUAAAACUAAGAGAGAGGGGAAUGUGAUCGAGCUUUGGUAUCUGAGCUGCCUACAUAUCCUUGGCUAUAAAGGAAUCAAGCCACGUGUAGUUUAGAGGUGAGUGAGAUAAUGGAGUGUGCCGAGGUGGAGAGCUGGUCGAGGUGCCGUUCCGCCGAGGUUCCGGUCCGCAGUCCUGAUAUUACAUCAAAAUCAAAACAUGAAAAAGACUAGAUAAGCCUAUCAACUACGAGUUACACGAUUCCUAUCUAUAAGUCUUCCGAAGCUUGAUCUUGAGUCUUGAAUGGUUCUUCAUGCAGACUUUGGAUUUGAACCUUGACGCCUGCUAGUUGCAGGUGCUAGCUCGUUCUUCUUCAGCUUUUCAAAUCAAAACCGGGCAUGAAGUGCUUGUGACCUCGGGCAUGUCUUGAGCAGCCCACGUCUUUCAUCAACUUCUGCAUUUGGAUUAACUUUAUGCCUUUCCCUCUUUUUUCUUUAUUGCGUUUAACUUCUGUUGAUCCCCUUGGACUGUUGAAUCGCAUUCUUACCACGAGCUUCUUUUGUUGCUGACUUGAAUUGUAAUCUGAGAUGCUUUCCCUUUUCUCCAGGUGGACGCCUGAUUGUUGAACUCGAAUUGUACUCUGAGAUGCUUUCCCUUUCUCCAGGUGGAUGCCUGAUUGCUGAACUUGAAUUGUAUUCCCAUGCUCUCUAGGUGGGCGCCUGACUGCUGAACUUGAACUGUAUUCCUGUGCUCACCAGGUGGGCGCCUGACUGCUGGACUUGAAUUGUAUUCCCGUAUUCUCCAGGUGGGCGCCUGACUGCUGAACUUGAAUUGUGUUCCCGUGUUCUCCAGGUGGGCGCCUGACUGCUGAACUUGAAUUGUAUUCCCGUGCUCUCCAAGUGGACUCCUCAUUGCUGAGCUUGAAUUGUUUUCCCGUGCUCUCCAGGUGGGCUCCUGACUGCUGAACUUGAAUUGUAUUCCCGUGCUCUCCAUGUGGGCGCCUGACUGCUGAACUUGAAUUGUAUUCUCGUGCUCUCCAGGUGGGCGCCUGACUGCUGAACUUGAAUUGUUUCUCCCUGUUCUCUAAGUGAGUACCUGAUUUCAACAAAAAUAGACAAAAUAAAGAAAAUUUUCUGCCCCAGUUUGAUAGUUGGGCACAUAUGUGAGUGUUAAACUGAAUCAUAUUACCAAAUAUUAGUAAGAGUUUGAAAGCUAGGUCCCAUUAUCCAGGAGGGUCCUGACAACUCCUAGUUAAUGACAGUUCUUUUAAAAGCUGAAUUAUGUUUUCUAAAGGUAUGACUUCCGCUAAAUCUGGUUAUUUAAGAAGGUCUUAAAACUACACCCUAUUAUCCAAGAGGGUCCUGAAGACUUUUUAAAAUUAAAUCUCAUUAUCUAGAAGGGUUCUGAAAAUUUUUAAAAUUAAAUCUCAUUAUCCAGGAGGGUCCUGAAGACUUUUUAAAAUUAAAUCCCAUUAUCCGGGAGGGUCAUGAAAAUUUUAAAAUAAAUCACAUUAUCCAUGAGGGUCCAGAGAAUUUUAAAUUAAAUCUCAUUAUCCAGUAGGGUCCUGAAGACUUUUUAAAAUUAAAUCCCAUUAUCUAGGAGGGUCCCGAAGACUUUUUAAAAUUAAAUCCCAUUAUCUAGAAGGGUCCUGAAGACAUUUCAAAAUUAAAUCCCAUUAUCAAGGAGGGUCCUGAAAAUUUUUAAAAUUAAAUCCCAUUAUCCAUGAGGGUCCUGAAAAUUUUAAAAUAAAUCCCAUUAUCCAGGAGGGUCCUGAAAAUUUUAAAUUAAAUUUCAUUAUCCAUGAGGGUCCUAAAAACUUUUUAAAAUUAAAUCCCAUUAUCUAGGAGGGUCCUGAAAAUUUUAACAUAAAUUCCAUUAUCUAGGAGGGUUCUGAAAAUUUUAAAUUAAAUCCCAUUAUCCAGGAGGGUCUUGAGAAUUUACGGUCAAACCUGUCUGGUGCUUGAUUUUCCUUACGGAGGGUUUCUCUAAAACAAACGAAAUUUUCUGCCCAUGUUUUAAUCAAAGAAAAAUCUUGUCAGUUUAAAAUGUGGUGGUUAGUUGAUGGCAUUCUUGUUGAAGGUCUCUCCGCUGUCGUGCUUUGUUUUGACUGGCUUCCCCGAACUGUCCCUGAACCGCUUGGCUUUCUGACUGAAUUUCAACCCACAUGACCUCGGAUGACCCGAGUGUUCUAUACCCGAACCGUUGUUUCACACCUCUGACCCCUUUAACUAAACCUCUACAUCUCCCAUGAAAUUACUAAAUCAUUCCGCCGAUGGAACUUUCGCUGGUACUUUAUAUCCCACUUUACAUCAUGACAUCUUUGGUAUGUUCUGGCUACACUAUGCUUUGCAAUUUUUGAAGAUGGUAGUGAGCUUUGAAAUUCUUUCUUAUUUGCUUGACCAAGACUGACAUUGAAACAUCUUAGAGAAUGAAGUCCAAAAGAACUGAAAUGCAAUGACCGUGAGAGUUAAAAAUAAAGAAAAUCUAAAACUGGAUGACUUGCUAAAAAGGAAAGAGACUUAUCUGAGUGGAACAGCUGGUACCAAUGAUCAUGACAUGCAUUUUGGAUUAAUCAGCCCAAUCUGUCCAACCACUCAACUUUCAGUUGCCAUACUUUGUUGCCCCCGAGUUUCCAUAACCUGACUUCUUCGCCAAAACCUUGACCUUGUUCGGCCUGCGGUGCCCUGAAGGGUUUUCACCACAAGCCUCUCUCAUUUGUUCAUCUCUCAACUCACUUUUGCCUUACGGUUCCCGUGAGGGUUUUCACCAAUAAGACUCAGCUCUCGUCACCUUAUGGUGACCGUGAGAGUUUUCACCAAUAAGACUCUCUCAUUUUUAUUAUUUUUCCCUGCUUGGACCAGAGUGUUGCCCCUGAUAUGAAUCACCUCCACUUGCUUGACUUGGCAUUUCUCGAAGACUGAUCGGAAGGUCUUUCUUUGGAUCGUAAUGUGGACUUUUGGAUAGGGUUAGAAAGAAAGGGUAUCAAAGGCUCAAAACAAUUCAAAUGGGUUCAAAAUUACAACUUUUGGAAUCAAAUUUCUUGCAACAACCACAACUUUUGUCCCAACUUCUUUGCUUGGGGACUUUUGGAAUUUUAUUUUGAUGGGACCGAACCGUGAGGCUGCCUACAUAUCCUUAAAAGGAAUCAGGUCGAACGUAGUUCAUGUCGUAGAAAUUGCUUUGUUGUUGUGAUUUUUCUUUUAUGUUCCUCCUCUUUCUUUUCUUUCUUUUCUUUCUUCUUUUUUUCUCUUUUUGUUGUUUUGUUGUUUUGUUUUUUUUUUCUUUUUCUUUUCUUUUUAUUCAUUUCUUUCUAUUUUUCUUCUUUUUUUUUCUUUCCCUCUUUAUUUUUCUUCUUCUCUCUCUUUUCAUUCUUUUCUUUUCUCUUUUUUCCUUUACUCAUCUUUCGCACUUGCGCUUUUGAUCUUUGCUACUGAUUCCAAAAGAGGGGUAUAAAAGGAAAUAAAUAAGGCUCAUGGGGGUAACAAAGGAUAAACUGUUUAGAUAGCAGAACAAAAUGCCUUCGUCAUUCCAAUCUUCAAAACAUGCCAAGUACAAACAAAUACAAUUUAAACAAAGAAAUCAUACAUUAUAUCUCUUGACCGCAUUGGAAUUGAUGGCCAUUUCUACACACUUGCCUUCUAUGUCUGUUAAAUAUAAAGUACCAUUGGACAACACUCUAGUUACGAUGAACGGCCCCUGCCAAUUUAGGGCGAACUUGCCUUUAGCCUCGGCCCGAUAUGGAAGGAUACGUCUCAACACCUGCUAACCCAUUUCAAACUUCCGCGGAUGCACCUUCUAAUUAAAUGCUCUUGCCAUUCUCUGUUGAUACAACUGGCCAUGACACACUGCUGCCAACCUUUUCUCAUCGAUCAAACUUAAUUGUUCCAAGCAGGUUUUAACCCAUUCAUCAUCGUCAAUUUCGGCUUUUACGACAAUCCGAAGGGAUGGGAUUUCGAUUUCCGCGGGUAUCACUACUUCCAUGUCAUAUACCAACAAAUAAGGAGUUGCCCCUACUGAAGUACGAAUAGUAGUGUGAUAACCCAACAAUGCAAAAGGCAGCUUCUCAUGCCAUUGCUUGGACCCUUCCACCAUUUUCCGAAGUAUCUUCUUUAUAUUCUUGUUAGCUGCCUCGACUGCUCCAUUCGCCUUGGGGCGGUAUGAGGUGGAAUUGUGAUGUGUAAUCUUAAACUGUUGACAUACCUCUUUCAUAAGAUGACUAUUGAGAUUAGCACUGUUAUCUGUGAUGAUCACCUUUGGGAUCCCGAACCGACAAAUGAUAUUUGAGGGCACAAAAUCGACCAGUACUUUCUUGGUCACAGACUUGAAAGUUUUAGCUUCAACCCACUUGGUGAAAUAAUCAAUGGCCACCAGAAUAAACCUGUGCCCAUUGGACACUACUGGCUCGAUUGGUCCAAUGACAUCCAUGCCUCAAGCAACAAAGGGCCAUAGUGCAGACAUUGUAUGUAAUUCAGAUGGUGGAGAAUGAAUCAAAUCUCCGUGCACUUGCCACUGAUGACACUUGCGCACAAAACUGAUACAAUCUCGCUCCAUAGUGAGCCAAUAAUAACCUGCUCGGAAAAUCUUCUUUGCCAGCACGUACCCACUCAUAUGCGGUCCGCAGACCCCAAAAUGUACUUUGAUCAUGAUAGUUGUGGCCUGUCUAGCAUCUAUGCAUCUCAACAAUCCAAGAUCCGGAGUCCUUUUGUACAAAACCCCUUCGCUGAAGAAAAAUCCGGUUGCCAAUCGCCGAAUUGUUCUCUUUUGAUCACUUGUGGCUUGUACUGGAUACACCCCCAUCCUGAUAUAUUCCUUGAUAUCAUGAAAUCAAGGCUCACCAUCAAGUUCUUCUUCCACUACAUUAUAGUAAGCAUGCUGAUCAUGGACCUAAAUAUGCAAAGGGUCCACAUAAGCCUUAUCUGGAUGAUGUAGCAUUGAUGCCAAGGUAGCCAAAGCAUCAACAACCUCGUUAUGGAUCCUUGGAAUAUGCCUAAACUCUACUGAUCGAAAACGUUGACAAAGAUCAUGCAAACAUUGCCGAAUCCGAGUCUUCCAAGACCAUUGGGUCCCGUGUUUCCCAUUCCCCUUGAAUCUGGUGCACCAGAAGGUCCGAGUCUCCCAAGACCAAGACUUCCUGGACCCAUGUCUACAACCAACCUCAAACCCAAAAUGCACGCCUCGUACUCACCCAUGUUGUUAGUACAGUAGAAACAAAGUUGAGCCGUAACAGGGUAGUGAUGCCAUGUUUCACAAAUAAGUAUAGCCCCUAUCCCGACGCUUUUCAUGUUAGCAGCUCCAUCAAAGAAAAGUUUCCAACCUGGCUCUCCAACUGGUUCCAACUCAUCAAUAUGCAUUACCUCUUCAUCAGGGAAGUAAGUCUUCAAAGGCUCAUAUUCUUCAUCCAUUGGGUUCUCAGCCAAAUGGUCGGCCAAUGCCUGGGCUUUCAUUGCAGUUCUAGUCACAUAGACGAUGUCAAAUUCUGUGAGCAAGAUCUGCCACUUUGCGAGCCUCCCUGUAGGCAUAGGCUUCUGAAAGAUAUACUUUAACGGAUCCAAACGAGAGAUGAGGUAAGUAGUGUAAGAUGACAAAUAAUGCUUCAACUUUUGUGCCACCCAAGUUAACAUGUCCUUUCUAGGUGAGUGUACUUAACCUCAUAAGAUGUGAACUUCUUGCUGAGAUAAUAGAUGGUCUGCUUCUUCCUGCCGGUGAUGUCAUGCUAACCCAACACACAACCGAAUGAAUUGUCCAGGACCGUCAAAUACAGAAUCAAAGGUCUCCCCGGUUCUGGUGGCACCAACACAGGUGAGUUUGAUAAGUACCCCUUUAUCUUAUCAAAUGCUUCUUGAACUCAUCUGUCCAUUUGAUCGCAUCAUCCUUCUUCAACAGUUUGAAGAUAGGCUUACAAGUUGUCGUAAGCUGAGCAAUAAACCUGCUGAUGUAAUUCAACCUCCCUAAUAAACUCAUCACCUCAGUUUUGUUCCUUGGGGGUGGCAGUUCUUGGAUAGCUUUGAUCUUUGACGGGUCCAACUCAAUACCUCGUCUGCUGACUAUGAAUCCCAACAAUUUUCCAAAUGGCACACCAAAUGCGCAUUUUGUAGGAUUGAACUUAAGACUGUACAUGCGAAGCCUUUGGAAGAAUUUUCUUAGAUCUCUGACAUGAUCAGACUGCUUUCUAGACUUUAUGAUUACAUCAUCCACAUAAACCUCGAUCUCCUUAUGUAUCAUGUCAUGGAAUAUAGUUGUCAUUGCCCUCAUGUAAGUUGCCCCAGCAUUUUUCAAACCAAAAGGCAUGACCCUAUAGCAAUAUGUUCCCCAUGGCGUGAUGAAUGCUAUCUUCUCUGCAUCUUCCUCAUCUAUUAGGAUUUGAUGAUAGCCCGCAUAACAAUCUACAAAAGACCCAAUCUCAUGUUUGGCACAAUUAUCAAUCAGAAUGUGGAUAUUUGGCAGUGGAAAGUUGUCCUUGGGACUCGCCUUGUUGAGAUCACGGUAAUCAACACACACCCUGGUCUUGCUAUCCUUCUUUGGCACAAGUACUACAUUGGCUAACUAAGUGGGAUACCGAGUGACCCGAAUGACUUUUGCAUCGAACUGCUUGGUGACCUCUUCUUUGAUCUUCACACUCAUAUCAGUUUUAAAUUUCCUCAACUUCUGCUUGACAGGAGGGAAUGCCGGGUCAGUGGGCAAUUUAUGAACCACCAAGUCAGUGCUUAGACCCGACAUGUCGUCAUAUGACCAUGAAAAAAUAUCUUUGUACUCAAACAAUGCUUUAAUUAUCUCCUCCCUGAGUUGAGGUUCAAGAUGGACACUUAUCUUAGUUUCUCUGACAUUAUUUGGGUCCCCUAAAUUGAUUGUUUCUGUAUCACUCAGGUUAGGCUUGGGUUUUUCUUCAAAAUGGCUUAAUUCUUUACUAAUCUCUUCAAAGGCCUCAUCCUCAUCAUAUUCCGAUUCAUCAUCACACUCUAUUUCUUGAAUUACUAUUUCAGAAUUAGAUUGACUUUUAAGACUGGGCCGGAGAUUCCUCAUGCAUGUCAUGCCAUUGAAACUAGCAUAAAAAGAACUGUACAAGGAGGAAAAGAAAAACAAAAAUAAAAUUAUCAGGAAGGAAGAAAAGGGGAAAUUGCAUUUCAUUAAAAUUAAAGAUAAUAACGUUUAUACAUCCAAACGGACAGAACAUAAAAUUUGAAUUACAACCCUGGAAUAAUCCAGACAAACUGAAAGAAAAUCAAAGCAAACUACCAAAACUCCCUCCGAGUAGGAAGAGGAGUAGCUUCCUAAUUGUUAAUCUUUGCACUAGGCCCAACAAAUUGCACAUCCGCCUUGCUAGAACCCUCUCCAGCUUCCACCAUGUUCACAUCAUCAAAUAACUUCUCGAACCUUUCAGUCAAUUCUUUAUCAGGACCAACCACAGAACUGGGAACUGUUGUUACUGGGCGUUUCUUAGUGCCAGGCCUGACAAAUGAUCUGGAGAGGCUUGGGAUGGGCUUUGGGAGGACCUAUGCCCUCUGUUUCAACUUCCUGGCUCUUUUCACGUCCGCAACUGUGGGCUUGAACCCCAAUCCAAAUGUAUCCAAGUUUUUGGGGAGAGACACCGGCUAUAUGAUACCUUGCAGAGAUGCACCCAAACCCUUGCCCCGUACAAAACCAUUUUUCAACAUUUCAACGGCUACUAUGACUGAUGCAACAGCUACCCUCGGAGUUGGAACACACUUCCCUUCUGGAAUUUUCUCUACCGUUACAGUGUCAAAAACCUGAUAAACCCAUGGCCCCUUGUCGUUUUCAAAUUCUAUGAACGGAACAAUGGCAUCACUGGGAACACACAAAUUAUCUUCGCCGUGCACAACAAUUUCCUGUCUAUCCCAUUCAAACUUGACCAUUUGAUGCAGAGUAGACGGGAUCGCUUUGGCAGCAUGAAUCCAGGGUUGACCUAACAGCAGAUUAUAAGAAACAGCCACAUCGAGCACUUGGAACUCCAUGGUAAAUUCAAAUGGCCCUAUUGUAAGCUCAAGUACUAUGUCCCCGACUGAAUCUUUCCCUCCACCGUCAAAUCCCCGAACGCAGAUAUUGUUCUUGUGAAUUCUUUCAUCAUCCACCUUCAACUUGUUCAGAGUGGAGAGAGGGCAAAUGUUCGCUCUAGAACCAUUGUCGACCAGUACCCGAGUAACCACGGAAUCUUCGCAUUUCACUGUAAGAUAGAGGGCUUUAUUGUGCUCAGUACCCUUCACGGGAAACUCAUCAUCAGAAAAAGUGACUCUGUUUACCUCAAAUAUCUUGUUAACUAUCUUUUCCAAGUGGUUUACUGAGAUUUUGUCAGGAACGUGGGCCUCAUUCAGGAUCUUCAUCAAAGCCCAACGGUGCUCGUCUGAAUGGAUCAAUAAUGACAAUAGUAAAAUCAGAGUCGGUGUUUUCCUUAACUGCUCCACAAUAGAAUAGUCCUGCACUUUCAUUUUUCUCACGAAUUCCUCUACUUCUUCCUCGGUCACAACUUUCUUCACCAACACUGGGUUAUCUUUGGAGAUCUUAGCUUUUCUCAACUCUUCGGGGGCAAAGCAUCUCCCCGAUCGAGUCAAACCAUGGGUCUCACAAACUUCUUCUUUAACCUCUUUCCCCUUGUAAGUCACUGUCAUUCGUUCAUAAUUCCACGGGACCGCCUUGCUAUUGAUUAUCGGUAAUUGGGUUACCGGCUUGAUAAUGACAGGAUCUGUGUGGGCACCCUCCACAAUUACAACAAGCUUGUUCGCCACUCUGGAACAACCACUUUUGCUCUUUCUUGUUUUACUGCCACAUCACUUGGGCCCCCCUUCUUGACUACUGCAGAUGGUUCACUGUUUGUCCCGCUCAACCUGAUCACUAAUUUCUCACUUGUUGGCUUUUCAACCGGCCUGACUUCACUGGACCGAAUCAUUAUGACGGUCUGUGAAGGCUUCUUAGGCUCCCCUCCCCUAUGCACUAUCUCGAUCAUAUUUGUCUCAUGAUGGGCCGACAACGGAUUCUGGUUGAUAUUGGGUGCCUCCGGAGCUUGGAAUUCAAUCCAAUUAGUAUCAAUGAGCUUUUGGGGUGCCACAAAAAUAGGAGUGAAUGGUGGAGGAUGGUACGAGAUUUGUUUAAGUGGUGGAGCUUGUGAUGUAUGGGAAGUGGUGUCGUGGCAUUGUUGGUAGAGGGGAAAGGCCGGAGAUGAGUUCACAGUGGGAGGUUCCUGUGGCUGAGCCAAUGGCAGAAUAAAAGCAGGGUUGGCGGGGUAAACUGGCGGUGGGUGCCCUUUGCCCAUGCUUGGUACAUUUCAGCCAUCUGCUAAUUCAGUUUAUACAACUCAUAUUUCAGAUUAACCUUCGAUUCUUCCACCUCUUUUGACGGAUCGACAAUACUUGCCUCAAGUUCCUGGUGGGCCAUGAGCUUGUUUUUGGACUGGGUGUUGUAGGAGUGAGUUGCCAAAAUGCCAAUCAAACUAACCACCUACCUGAACUGGGAUUUCAUUAAUAACAAACUUGUUAGCGAUUAGGACUUUAACAGAUAGGCAAUCACACAUUUGAGGAGUGAAUGUACCUAAGCAGUUAACCGUUUCUAUUAUGCAUUUGAUCGGUUGCUUGCGUCAUCCCGACUUUUCCUUAUUUCCACUUGAAACUUCUCUUUUCUCUUUUUUUUCUCUUUUUCAUUCUUGCCUUUCCUUGCUUGAUCUCUCUUUGUUUUUAUUCACUCAUGUCUCUUUCUUGCUUUGUCAUUGUUUCCUUCUCAUUGUUUCUUAUUUUCUCUCUCUUUUCCUUUUCUUUUCUCUCUUAUUUUUCCUCUCUCUCUUUUUCUUNNNNNNNNNNNNNNNNNNNNNNNNNAAAUUAACAGACUCCGACUCAAAACAAGACCAACAGACUCUGACAGAAAGGUGAAAACAACAGACUCGAAAACCUACUAACAGACUCCAAGAAAAAACAAACUCACAAACAGACUAACAGACUCCACCGAAAAUCACAAUUACAUCAACGCCUCAACUGCUCCUGGGGCCCGCGGGACAUCAUUUGGUCUCGCCACGGGCCUACGCGCUAAAUCCCCUUGGAGGUGGUAGAGAUCUUCCAUUAUCCGACGGACAAAGGUCAUCACGGUGGCAAAUAACAUGGAUCUAGUCAUAUCCUCACAACUACUACACUUCAUCGCGAUGUAGUCGGCGAUAUUUCUGACUCUCUCUCUUAUGACACCCUUUUCUUGCAACAAACGCCAAUAUGCUGGACCCUGGCCUUCAAAGUUUGCUCGGCUACAUGAUUUUAUUCUUAAAGUUGUUGCAAAUCUUUUUCUAACUGUGCCAUCGCUGCGUAAUAGUGUUCCCUUUCUACCUUAAAGUCUUUUGCUUGCCUGAUCAUUUUGUUCUCAAAGAUGGUGACCUUUUUCUUCAACCCCACAACCUCAUUGUCAUAUUUUUCUUUUAAUUGCUUAACCAAGCGUGCUCGUUCCUCCGCAUUCUUAGCCAAUUUUGUUCGAGCCCUUACUAAUUCGCCCUCUGCUUUGUUCAAAUCGAAGAAAUACUCACUCACCUUCUGCCUAAGGUUCUUUAUAAGUUUUUCAUAUUUUGCACUUCUGGCGGGAUUUUCUGCUGCUAUUUUCAUUUUCUGAAUCUGGGCUCGAAGGGCCUCAUUUUCUUUGGCUAGCUUUGUUUUUUCACCCUCAUCCGCCGCAGCUUGCAAACCAUUCUCGAACUGAAGAUCCUUGACUUGCUUCUCUAGAUUGCUUAUGGUAGCCCUGUACUCAUUCUCUUUGGCCAACCAAGCCCACUGUUCUUGUGACGCCUUGACAUCCUGAAUAUGGGGUUUUUUAGCCGGCUUUCCAAACUCAAUUUACUUUUUAUACCAAGCAAGGUACCCUGGUGAAACUUCACGUUUAGAUCGAUCAUUUACACAAGUAUUUUCCGUCAAGUAUUGACACUCGCUCCAAAUCUGGCAGACUGCUGCUUCAUGGAAUUGGCCAUCAGGACCAAUCCCAACUGCCUAAGCACUAAGAUCUUCAUCUUUUGGAACUAUUUGACAUCUCCCUAACUGUCUUAAAACCCGGUAUGGGGUAUAAGGCUGGAUACUUUUGAGACCCAUCAGAAGGAAGUGAGGUCCGGUAGCUGGCAUGUAUACGAUUUCAUCUAUAGGAAGCCACUCGAAUGUCCAUUCUAUUUCGUCUGCAGUGAUGGAACGGAGAUGUGAUAUCCAUUCUGUGACCCCUUCUGGCAAGCUGAUCCCAUCAACCCUUGUAUAGAAUUCCUCUAUGCAUGUUUUCUCUGUCGACCCAUAACUCAUGAAUUGAGGACGAUGGCAAAGGUGUUCAAUCAUCCACAUCUAUAGCAACAAGUUGCACCCCUCAAAAAAGUCUCCUUCGGCUUUGCAGGCUGUGAGAGCGCGGAAGAUUUCAGCUACUAUCAUGGGUGCGAGGGUGUUUUUGACCUGAGUAAGCAAAGUGCUGAUGACGCCAGCUAUCCGUAUAUCGAUAUUUCCAUCUUUCUUAGGAAACACCAGAAGACCCAAGAAUACCACCAUAAAAGCAAAGCACAUGUGUUAUUCCCAUUUGAGGCAAUUCCCUUUGCUACAAAUUUUGUUUUCUGGAUUGUUAAACCCUUUUAUGUGACUGUAUCUCUGGUAUAUAAACCGUGGAGUGGAAAAUCCCGCGGCCAAAUCUGGGUUAUGGAACCCCCUGCUUAUCUUUAAGGAAUAUAGGAAUAUGUGUACAACGACGACUCCUGGAGCAACCAGAUACUUGUGUCUUAGAGGAACCUCGACGCUCCUAAUAUAUCCGACUAUUUCUUCCAAAGUUGGGGUGAGUUCAAAAUCUGAGAAAUGAAACACGUUGUGGGCCGGGUCCCAGAAUGUAACCAACGCCUUUAUAAUGUCUCCUCUAGGCCUAAUCUUCAACAACCCGGUGGGACCUCCCAAAUAUUGAUUGACCAUAUCUUGCCCUGAUUUACCCAGAUCAUCCCACCACAUAUGCAGCUCCAAAGGGAUUUUGUUCAUGACUGUUAUUGGCAAAUUUUGACUCGUGCUCAUUCUGCACAUUUAUUAAGGUGAUUAAGCAUUAUCAUGACUCAUUUGACUCAAGAAAAGUUAAUUUUUUUCAAAUUGUUGUUUCAAAAAUAAAACCCGGCUUUGAAAAUACGGCCUUUCAGCACUUCCGGGGAGAAGAUUUUAAAGUUAUGCUUGCCAACCGGCCAAAAAUUCAAAAAGGAGACCAAAGGUGGUUGUACUUGCUAAAACAGCCUUACGAUAUCCUUUUGGGGACAUUCGGCUAUUUUAGACAAAAAUGGCAUCACCUUGCUUAAAAAUAGAAGAAAAUUCUUGUUCUUUUGGGCUAUUUUUGCAAAAGGAAAGUUGGACCCGAUGGGGGUUGCCUACGUAUCCCACAUCUAGUGAGAAUCAAACUGGCAUAGUUCAGACAAUUUUGACAGAACAAAAACCAACUCUUUUUUUUCUUAAAACAAAACAAAAAAAAAUUCUUUUUUUUUUCAAAAUUCCGGCAGAGUUUCAGUAUAUUUUGGGACAUCGGUUUUUCAAAACAGGAAAUUAUCUCUCUCAACUUUUUCAUUGACUUCCCCUAAGUUUUUCCCUUAAAAGCCGGUCAACACGCAAAUCCAAAGCAAAUGAAUGCACAAGUAGCAAGUAAGAUGCAUCAGGAUGGCCUUUUCAUUUCGGGUACACCUGUCCUAGACAGACCCAACCUCUGUGUUGAGUCUCCAAAGUCAAAUGCACAUGAUGCAAACAAAAGUUCCUACUCGGGAUCCGGUAUGAGACUGAGUUAUUCUAGGUUCAAAACCUGGGUAUUUGUUCUAGACUUGUGUACCCGAGCGGACGACUCGAGCUGAGGAGGGGGCUACGUACCGGGAACCAAAAGGCCAUCCGGCUUAGUAAUUUAUCCGAGCCUCUUUCUUAUUUCAAGGUAUGCCAUUAACAGAAUAGGGAGUCUCGACCAGCGAGCACAUCCCCAAAGAUAAGAAGAGAAGGGUUUCGUAGCAGUUUUUAUGUGGUUCAGAUAAUAUCAAAGCGGUAAAAGCAACAUUUAGCACAUUAGGCCCAAACAUGCAAUAAAAUCAUAUGACAGAUAAAACCAAAUAUAACAAUUCAUCAAAUCUCGAAUUCUGAACCUUGAACUAGAGAUUCUAGGUUCGGUCCCCAGCAGAGUCGCCAGAGCUGUCACACCUCCUUUUACUAUACCCCCAUUUUUAACACAUCAUUGAAAGGCUUACCCAAGGCCGGGAUCAAAUGACUGAAGUAGGUGGGCCCCUGGGCUUGUAGGAAAAGCUCAACCAUUUCUUUUUCACCAAUCGGGGUACUAAUUGAGCAGCUUGCUCCCUCCAUCUGAGCCCAAACUCCCUAAAGUUUUCCUCCGACUUCUUUUCCAUUCUAGAUAGGGAAGAGCGGUCUGGGGCAAUGCCUGAUUUGUAUUUAAAGUAUCGAACAAAAUCUUGAGCUAUGUCACCCAAUGUAGGCCACUUAUCUUGACGAUUAUGCCAUUCCAAAGCUGCCCCAGUCAAGCUCUCACCAAAAUACGCCAUCAACAAAUCAUCUUUCUCGCCAACAUUUCUCAUUUUACUGUAAAAGACCCUCAAAUGGGCUACCAGAUCCCCACGCCCAUCAUACAAGUUAAAGUUUGGCACUUUAAAUCCCGUGGAAAGGCGAACGUCAGGGGACACAAACAGUUCUUUGUAAGCCAUGCUACCCUGGUCUCCUAUUCCUUGCUUGUUCUUUAAGGACUGUUCUAUGCCUUUUAGCCUCCUGGGUAUCCCAUCUCGCCCUUCACUUCCUGUGAACUUUUUAUUUUCAACAUGAGGCUCAUCCCGCGGGCCCUACUUGUAUGAGUUGGGGACCUUGUGGGCAACCCCUGAGGGGUAAUAUUGGGCAUCAUGAGCUUUGAGUGGGUGUUCAUUGUCGGGGAUAGUGGAUGUGACAGGAGGACACUUUUGGAAAAAUAUAGUUGGAGGACGAGUGAUAGAGCUACUAGGGUGGUUGGGAAAGUUGUGAUAAGCGGGUGGAUCUGGAGAGUAUGGAGGAUCAUCUGGCAUUAGGUCCGGAGUUUGGGUAAAGGCAGCAUCUAGGAAGCUAGGUGGUGGCUGGGGUGGUGCCUUCCCAGUUAUCCAAGCCUGAUACAUGUCCGCCAUGUGUUGUCUUAACAUCUUUACCUCUUCAGCCUAACCAGUGUCCUGUUCAACCAACUGCUUUCGGGCACCGGUAUCAACCAACCAAAUUUUGUUGUUGUCUGCCAUUGCCUUUUGACUUUAUGUUGUAGAAAAGAGUUACCUCUUUAAAAACCACAAACCAACCACCCUUCUGCUAUGAAUAUAACAAAAUGAAGUCAUGUUAGUGUUAGGGCAUUUAACAUAAGAUAAUCUCACUUUAUGUGCAAUGCACCUAGCCACAAUUAUCGGUUCUAAAAUGAACUUCGAGGGUACCAAGGUCGGUUGGCAUCNNNNNNNNNNNNNNNNNNNNNNNNNNNNNNNNNNNNNNNNNNNNNNNNNNNNNNNNNNNNNNNNNNNNNNNNNNNNNNNNNNNNNNNNNNNNNNNNNNNNNNNNNNNNNNNNNNNNNNNNNNNNNNNNNNNNNNNNNNNNNNNNNNNNNNNNNNNNNNNNNNNNNNNNNNNNNNNNNNNNNNNNNNNNNNNNNNNNNNNNNNNNNNNNNNNNNNNNNNNNNNNNNNNNNNNNNNNNNNNNNNNNNNNNNNNNNNNNNNNNNNNNNNNNNNNNNNNNNNNNNNNNNNNNNNNNNNNNNNNNNNNNNNNNNNNNNNNNNNNNNNNNNNNNNNNNNNNNNNNNNNNNNNNNNNNNNNNNNNNNNNNNNNNNNNNNNNNNNNNNNNNNNNNNNNNNNNNNNNNNNNNNNNNNNNNNNNNNNNNNNNNNNNNNNNNNNNNNNNNNNNNNNNNNNNNNNNNNNNNNNNNNNNNNNNNNNNNNNNNNNNNNNNNNNNNNNNNNNNNNNNNNNNNNNNNNNNNNNNNNNNNNNNNNNNNNNNNNNNNNNNNNNNNNNNNNNNNNNNNNNNNNNNNNNNNNNNNNNNNNNNNNNNNNNNNNNNNNNNNNNNNNNNNNNNNNNNNNNNNNNNNNNNNNNNNNNNNNNNNNNNNNNNNNNNNNNNNNNNNNNNNNNNNNNNNNNNNNNNNNNNNNNNNNNNNNNNNNNNNNNNNNNNNNNNNNNNNNNNNNNNNNNNNNNNNNNNNNNNNNNNNNNNNNNNNNNNNNNNNNNNNNNNNNNNNNNNNNNNNNNNNNNNNNNNNNNNNNNNNNNNNNNNNNNNNNNNNNNNNNNNNNNNNNNNNNNNNNNNNNNNNNNNNNNNNNNNNNNNNNNNNNNNNNNNNNNNNNNNNNNNNNNNNNNNNNNNNNNNNNNNNNNNNNNNNNNAUAUUUUUUUGUCUUCUUUUUUUUUUUUAAAAAUGAUGAGACACGUUACUUUUUUUUUGGAUUUUCUGAUUUACGGAAAAUGAUGAAAAAGUGCAAAAUCUCUUCUUCUUUUUUUGAAUUUUCAAGAUCUUUUUUUUCUUAACAAGAAUGUGACAGAAAACAUAAUUUGGCCCCACUCGCUUUAUCUUCACACUUCAACCUCUUUUUCUUUUUCUUUUUCAUUUGCCCUCAACUAUCAUUGGUCUGCCAAAUGACCCUUUUACCCUUGAAGAAAUGCAACAUGUAGCACAUAUGAUGCAUCAAGAUGGUCUGUUAUUUUGGGUACACCUGUCUUAGACAGACCCAACCCCUGUGUUGAGUCCCCAAAGUCAGAUGCACGUGAUGCAAACAAGCGUUCCUACUAGGGAUCCGGUAUGAGGCUGAGUUAUUCUAGGUUUAAAAUCUGGGUAUGUGUUCUAGACUGUGUACCCGAGUGGACAACUCGAGCCGAGGAGGGGGCUACGUACCGGGAACCAAAAGGCCAUCCGACUUAGUAACUUGUCCGAGCCUCUUUCUUAUUUCAAGGUAUGAUACUAACAGAAUAAAGAGUCUCGACCAGCGAGCACAUCCCCGAAGAUGAGAAGAGAAGGGUUUCAUAGCAGUUUAUAUACAGUUCAGAUAAUAUCAAAGCGGUCAAAGCAUCAUUUAACACAUUAGGCCCAAGCAUGUAAUCAGAUAACAGAUAAAGCCAAAUACAACAAUUCAUCUAAGCUUGAAUUUUGAACCCUGAAUCAGAGAUUCUAGGUUCGAUCCCCAACAGAGUCGCUAGAACUGUCACACCUCCUUUUUACCUACACCUCCGGAAGGGUAUAUAAGGGAGUUUUUUCCAACUUAAAGUGACAAUCGAAACGGGAUUAUUUAUUUAUAGAAAUUCAGAGUCGCCACUUGGGAUAAUUUAGGGUGUCCCAAGUCACCGGUUCAAGUCCCGAAUCGAGGAAAAGAUUGAUUAUGUUUUACAGUCCGCAAACAAAAAAUCUGGGUAAGGAAUUCUGUUAACCCGGGAGAAGGUGUUAGGCAUUCCCGGGUUCCGUGGUUCUAGCACGGUCGCUCAACUGUUAUAAUUGGCCUAUUAUCUGAUUUUAAUACAUGUUUUAGCCUAUGGUUCAAUUUUAACUUUUAAACCGCUUUUAUUUAAUUAAGGAAAAUUCAAGGUUAUGUAAAACACAUCGCAAGCCACGCUACAUGAAAUGCACCUGUGAGUCACGACACAUUCUAUUUAACCUUGUUGGAAAUUAGAACCGGGUCACAUGAAAUUUACACCAGAAUUGAGAAUUAGACAUCGUAACUAUGUCACGGGAACUGUACCCAUGGUCACGAUAGUUUAUUUAUUAAUCGCACCUAAAACAUGCUCCUAUCGAUCUGAACAAUUAACAAAAAUAGAACAAGAACAAGAGAGACUUUCUUAAGUUUAAAAUCUUUCUCAUAUUUAUCCGGGAUCUGUAAUGACCAUUUUAGGAGUUCGAAAUGAUGAAAUCACAUUACAUAUACCAAAAUUCCCUUAAAGAGUAAAAGUAGUCAUUUCCAGUAAUUCACAAGCUAAGGUAAGCUUUGCUUUAACGUGAAGCUCUAAUUUUGGACAAUUCAUGAAUCAAAGCUCACUGAACAUGGAAGCUAAUUGACCUUAAUCGAGCAAACCAAAAAUGGUAAACAUAAACAUGAAUCCUUAACCUAGACGAAGGAGAAUCAAAGAAUGUUGUAUCAUUUAUUAAAUAGACUAUUCAUAGGCUUUAAAACCGUGCAUGAACAGAGUAUUCAAUAAAAGCAACUCAUAACAGGAAGCUUCACUAAGAAAAAUGAACCAAUACGUACAUUAAUACCAUAUGCGAACAAAGAUUAAACAGAUAAAAGAGAGGAGUUUAGAUGAACCAACAAUAUUUGCUCUGGCAAUUCCAGUAAAAUUUAAACCAAGACAUGCUAGAAACAAUAGGCUAAUAUCUCUAUAUUCAUCAAACACAUAACACAAAAUCACAAGCCAUCGAGAAAUUGAGAAGAAAUGAACCUGAAAUUAGAAAAUGGGCCGACUGAUUCAGAUAUUAACUUCCAAAUUUGAGGGAAAGAACAGCAGCAAAGUCGAGCAAGAAUCGCAGGCAAAAUCGAAACCACGAACCGGAAACCUCGUCAAAUUCGGAACAAACUACCUUAAACCGAGCUUAAUAUUGAAUUUGAAACUUGUAUGCAUGGACUGCUUUGAAACUCCUAAGCAACAAGAUCGAACAAAACCUCUAAUCGACAACACUAUUAGACCAAAAUAUUCAAUAAUGAAGAAAAAAUUAAAAGGUACAGCAGUUCUGAUUCCAAAAUUCGACUGAAAUAGUCUUUCAACUGAUGAGUACUCCCAACUAUUACAAGUAUUUCAGCUCUGAAAUACAAUUAAAUGAACAACAGGGACUUGUUCCACAAAAACAAAAUGCCAAACAACAACAACACUCGAACAACGCCGGAAACAUCAAACUCAACUCGACCUAACCGUACUCCAUAUUUGAGACCGAAGAUCGGAAUCUAAGAAAAAGGCAGAUGUGUAUUUCGGGGGCUGGGUUGUUGUUAAUGGGAAGAAGCAGAAGCAGCAAUGGCUAUGGUGUUCGCGGGUUCUCUGUCCAGCGGCGACUGUGUGUGUGUUUAUCAACGAGCUCGCCGCUCGCUUCUGUGUGUUCUGUGUGUUGUAUUGAUUUUAGGGGUGUGGUGAAGAAGAUCCGUUCAGAAGGGGGGUCGUCCUUGGUGUUAUCGGCGCUCAGCUUUUUUCACAUGCCUCUUUCUUUUUAUUUUUUUUCAGGCGUCUUUUUUUUUUAUUUGUGUAUUUUCAGCUUAUUUCUCUUAGGUCCUUAGGAUAUUUUUUAUUUAUUUUUUGUUCUAAAGAAGAGUCUAAAAGGGUCCCUAGGAUUAGCUUAG
RNAcentral lists this long non-coding RNA (19911 nucleotides) under Nicotiana tabacum (common tobacco). RNAcentral's name for it is "long non-coding RNA (NTAB_LNC019350)". The record is from RNAcentral. Lineage: Eukaryota; Viridiplantae; Streptophyta; Magnoliopsida; Solanales; Solanaceae.